RNAcentral lists this ribosomal RNA (447 nucleotides) under uncultured bacterium. RNAcentral describes it as "partial 16S ribosomal RNA". It matches the Rfam family "Bacterial small subunit ribosomal RNA", at positions 29 to 523 of the family's 1533-position model. The record is from RNAcentral.
AGCGAACGCUGGCGGCAGGCCUAAUACAUGCAAGUCGAACGGCUCUUCGGAGCAGUGGCGGACGGGUGAGUAACGCGUGGGAAUGUGCCCUUUGGUACGGAACAACACAGGGAAACUUGUGCUAAUACCGUAUGUGCCCUUCGGGGGAAAGAUUUAUCGCCAUUGGAGCAGCCCGCGUUGGAUUAGGUAGUUGGUGAGGUAAAGGCUCACCAAGCCUACGAUCCAUAGCUGGUCUGAGAGGAUGAUCAGCCACACUGGGACUGAGACACGGCGCAGACUCCUACGGGAGGCAGCAGUAGGGAAUCUUGCGCAAUGGGCGAAAGCCUGACGCAGCCAUGCCGUGUGAAUGAUGAAGGUCUUAGGAUUGUAAAAUUCUUUCACCGGGGACGAUAAUGACGGUACCCGGAGAAGAAGCCCCGGCUAACUUCGUGCCAGCAGCCGCCGUAA